Molecule: transfer RNA, 87 nt
Filed under: Candidatus Omnitrophota bacterium
Lineage: Bacteria; Pseudomonadati; Candidatus Omnitrophota
Also listed under: 1 other name
Description: tRNA-Ser
Rfam family: tRNA
About the family: Transfer RNA (tRNA) molecules are approximately 80 nucleotides in length. Their secondary structure includes four short double-helical elements and three loops (D, anti-codon, and T loops). Further hydrogen bonds mediate the characteristic L-shaped molecular structure. tRNAs have two regions of fundamental functional importance: the anti-codon, which is responsible for specific mRNA codon recognition, and the 3' end, to which the tRNAs corresponding amino acid is attached (by aminoacyl-tRNA synthetases). tRNAs cope with the degeneracy of the genetic code in two manners: having more than one tRNA (with a specific anti-codon) for a particular amino acid; and 'wobble' base-pairing, i.e. permitting non-standard base-pairing at the 3rd anti-codon position.
Source: RNAcentral
GGAGAGAUGCCAGAGCCUGGUUGAAUGGGGCCGCCUCGAAAGCGGCUGUACCUUCGGGUACCGGGGGUUCGAAUCCUCCUCUCUCCG